This 97-nucleotide non-coding RNA is filed under the name unclassified sequences. The record is from Rfam.
CUGACAAAAAUGCAUGGGUCGAUAUCGGAAUCGAUAGCCCGGUCCGCCUCGAAGCACCUUCAAGAAAAGUGCGAACUGGCGAGCGCGUUAAUGUCAG